GCUGAUGACUUUGAUGAAAACACGGGUAGAUUUUUGGAGCCCCAUUGCUGGAAAAAUAAGAAGACAUCAGAAGGGUUUUCAAAAUAUGAUCUGGCAGCCAUUUAAAGCCUGAAGACACUGGCCUUUCAACACUGUCUUGUUGCCUUUGUUCCCACACCAUAAAGAACAUGGAGAAGAUAAGAGAAAUAGUCAUGGAUUGAUUUCAGGAGUGUCAUUUCAUGAAGAUGACAAAUUAAAACUUGAGGUUGAAGUUGAGAGAAGAUCUGAGUCUGAGCCAAGACUGCCCAAGAGUGAUAUUGAGGUUUUGUGAAGAUCAUAAACAAGUACUUUAACAGCAUGCUGAAGGGAAACUUCAUACACCUUGUAAAUGUUACAAAUCUAUUUAAAUAACAUUCAGAUCUGGGUAAUUCAUGUAUAUUUCUACAAAGAUUAAUCAUCCACAGACUUAAAAUACCAAUAUGGUUAAAACUCAUUUACUUUGACAAAGGAAUUCAACCUGGGCAGAUUAUAAUUGAAGAAAAUGAUUGACUAAACUGAGUAAACACAAUUUCCUGAUAGCUUUUAAGUUUUUAAACACACUGUACAACAUCCAUAAUGGCAUAUCAUUAACAUUAUAUGCUGCUGAUAUAAUAAAUACCAAAAUGUCCAAUGAUUUUGUGAUUCUGCUCUUCCGACACAAAACUUGUGUUACUAACUUAAGUCCAAAUAACAUUUAGUUUUGUUUUGUUUUUCAGAUUGAAGAUGAAUUUUUCACAAUGUGUGUGGUGUAAAAAGUCUAAUAUCAAGCCACAUUUGAGAAGAAAAUUAACAGAUGACACUUUCAGACAGCAUUUAGAGAAAGAACUAAAACAGACAAUUACUAAAGAUUGUAUUAUAUGUGAAAAAUGUAGAACACAUGUCAGGAGGAAGAUAAAAUCAACAGAACCGGAAAACUCUGAUCAGUCAUUCAUAUAUCUGAGUCCUAAAAAUAUUGAACUAAAUAUAUCAUCAACUUCAUCAACUCAUCGAGUUUAUGCGGUUUGUAAGAAAGUGAGUUCAUCACGAAAUCCAUUUAUUGUCAUUCCGAAUGAUGCAAGAAAUCAAGUUUUAUCUUUCAA
This is a long non-coding RNA of Haliotis rubra (blacklip abalone), 1097 nucleotides long. RefSeq lists it as uncharacterized. The record is from RefSeq and is a predicted model, not a curated record. The transcript has 4 exons. Lineage: Eukaryota; Metazoa; Mollusca; Gastropoda; Lepetellida; Haliotidae.